Molecule: ribosomal RNA, 494 nt
Filed under: uncultured bacterium
Lineage: Bacteria
Description: partial 16S ribosomal RNA
Rfam family: Bacterial small subunit ribosomal RNA
Source: RNAcentral
GACGAACGCUGGCGGCGUGCUUAACACAUGCAAGUCGAACGGUGAAGCGCCUUCCUUUUUGGUGGGUGUGGAUGAGUGGCGAACGGGUGAGUAACACGUGAGUAACCUGCCCCCUUCUUCUGGAUAACCGCAUGAAAGUGUGGCUAAUACGGGAUAUUCUGGGUCUGUCGCAUGAUGGGUCUGGGAAAGAUAUUGUUUCGGUGGGGGAUGGGCUCGCGGCCUAUCAGCUUGUUGGUGGGGUGAUGGCCUACCAAGGCGGUGACGGGUAGCCGGCCUGAGAGGGUCGACGGUCACACUGGGACGGAGACACGGACCAGACUCCGACGGGAGGCAGCAGUGAGGAAUAUUGCACAAUGGGCGCAAGCCUAAUGCAGCGACGCCGCGUGAGGGAUGGAGGCCUUCGGGUUGUGAACCUCUUUCGCCAGUGAAGCAGGCCUGCCUCGUUUGUGGGUGGGUUGACGGUAGCUGGAUAAGAAGCGCCGGCUAACUACGUG